UUAAGGUUAAGUGAUUUUAACACUUUUUUGUUGCUUUGAAGGCAACUGGUUUAGUUAACCUAAACCUUA
RNAcentral lists this transfer RNA (69 nucleotides) under Amphioplus laevis. Its description in RNAcentral is "tRNA-Trp". Lineage: Eukaryota; Metazoa; Echinodermata; Ophiuroidea; Amphilepidida; Amphiuridae. The record is from RNAcentral.